AAAACAUGUCUUUUUGUGUUUAAUAUAAAGUCUAACCUGCCCACUGAUAAUUAAAUGGCCGCAGUACACUAACUGUGCAAAGGUAGCAUAAUAAUUAGUCUUUUAAUUGAAGGCUGGAAUGAAUGGUUGGACGAGAUAUAAGCUGUUUCAUUUAAACUUAAAUUAGAAUUUUAUUUUUCAGUAAAAAAGCUGAAAUAUUUUUAAAAGACGAGAAGACCCUAUAAAGCUUUAUUUUUAUAAAAAAAUAGAAAAAUAGAUUUUUUAUACUAUUUUUAAACUAAAAAUUUUAUUGGGGUGAUAGUAAAAUUUAUAGAACUUUUAAUUUUAACAACAUUGAUUUAUGGCUUAUUGAUCCAUUAUUAGUGAUUAAAAAUUCAAGUUACUUUAGGGAUAACAGCGUAAUUUUUUUGGAGAGUUCAUAUCGAUAAAAAAGAUUGCGACCUCGAUGUUGGAUUAAGGAAUAAUUUUAGGUGUAGCCGUCUAAAUGAUAAGUCUGUUCGACUUUUAAUUU
Molecule: ribosomal RNA, 511 nt
Filed under: Psacadina vittigera
Lineage: Eukaryota; Metazoa; Arthropoda; Insecta; Diptera; Sciomyzidae
Description: partial 16S ribosomal RNA
Rfam family: Bacterial large subunit ribosomal RNA
Source: RNAcentral